This 980-nucleotide long non-coding RNA is filed under the name Astyanax mexicanus (Mexican tetra). RNAcentral describes it as "lncRNA (ENSAMXG00005008773.1)". The record is from RNAcentral. Lineage: Eukaryota; Metazoa; Chordata; Actinopteri; Characiformes; Acestrorhamphidae.
CAAAUUGCUUUUUAAGUUAAGAGAGCAAGAAAGAGAGAGAAAGAGUCAGAAAGAAAGAAAGAGAGCGACAAUGUGAGGCAGAGAGGAGCGGGGACAAAAGGGCAGCUGCAGAAACAUUUGGCUGUGCCGAAGGGUAGUGGGCUCAACAUGUUAAGUGUGGGACCAGCUUGGGCCUGAAGUUCGCGGGGAGCUGCGUGCCAGGCUGCUGCACAUGGCCACAGCAGGCCCAGCCGUUACGCCGAGGAGAAUCACUCUGUACUAUUGCUCUGCAAACAGCUGUUCACCGCACAGCUGCCCAGGCAAUCCAUCUCCAAGGAGGCCCCACACCUGCCGACCGCGAACGUGUGACUCAGCAGGACCCACACACUCCUCACACACUGCUGGAGCAGGAGAGCAAAGCUCAACGUGCCACAGAUGCACAGCACAGCCGUGCCAAGCCCCAGCUCACGGAUACAAAUGUACAGAAAUAUCGCUCAGCCAGGCUAACAUGGGACCAGUAUCCUGUACAGCUUCAGAAUUCAACCACGUUUUUCUUCAUUACGCCGGUUCCUUAACCCCUUCACUUCCCAGAAUUAUUACUUCCUGUUACAGGCUGUUAUUCAGAAAUGAAUGGAAGGAGGUUGGAAUAGAAACCUUGAACCCUGGUGAUUUUAGGAGUUGACGCAAGAGCUGAGUUUAUUAAAAUAAUUUAAUUUCCUUGAGAAAUUUUGAGUAAUGUAUUGUAAAAAUGUUUGGGCAACAUAUUUGGUUCUGCAUUUUCCAAAUGUUUUUUUGCUGACUAUGUAGACCUGCUCAAAGUAAUUUUUCUCAACCAACUUGAUAUUGUAAUGUAGGGUUUCAUGUAGAGUCUGAGAUUUCUGUUUUCUGUCACUGUAAGAACCCCACUAGAAGACGGUUUCUAAACAAGCACAAAGCAAUCAUUCUGCACUAAUUUGGGGAAUUUAAUUAUCAGAAUAAAGAAAAACAUGAUGUGACUUUCA